Molecule: small nuclear RNA, 106 nt
Filed under: Chinchilla lanigera (long-tailed chinchilla)
Lineage: Eukaryota; Metazoa; Chordata; Mammalia; Rodentia; Chinchillidae
Source: RNAcentral
GUGCUCACUUCAGCAGCACAUAUACUAAAAUUGAAAUGAUACGAGAAGAUUAGUAUGGCCCCUGUGCAAGGAUGAAAUGUAAAUUCAUGAAGCAUUCUAUAUUUUU